GCUGGCGUAGCUCAGCCGGCAGAGCGGCGCACUCGUAAUGCGCAGGUCGCGGGUUCGAUUCCCGCCGCCAGCUCCA
RNAcentral lists this transfer RNA (76 nucleotides) under Bacillota bacterium. RNAcentral describes it as "Firmicutes bacterium (anaerobic digester metagenome) tRNA-Thr". It matches the Rfam family "tRNA". From Rfam's summary of the family: Transfer RNA (tRNA) molecules are approximately 80 nucleotides in length. Their secondary structure includes four short double-helical elements and three loops (D, anti-codon, and T loops). Further hydrogen bonds mediate the characteristic L-shaped molecular structure. tRNAs have two regions of fundamental functional importance: the anti-codon, which is responsible for specific mRNA codon recognition, and the 3' end, to which the tRNAs corresponding amino acid is attached (by aminoacyl-tRNA synthetases). tRNAs cope with the degeneracy of the genetic code in two manners: having more than one tRNA (with a specific anti-codon) for a particular amino acid; and 'wobble' base-pairing, i.e. permitting non-standard base-pairing at the 3rd anti-codon position. RNAcentral also lists the same sequence under 3 other names. The record is from RNAcentral. Lineage: Bacteria; Bacillati; Bacillota.